Non-coding RNA from Schistosoma haematobium, 45 nucleotides. The record is from Rfam. Lineage: Eukaryota; Metazoa; Platyhelminthes; Trematoda; Strigeidida; Schistosomatidae.
AUCCAGUUGAUGAGUCCCAAAUAGGACGAAACGCGCAUCCCUGAU